AAAAAAUAAUGGCUUUGCAUACCUAUACAGUGCAUCAACUAAAGGUUUGCCAAUCCAAAGUAGCUACCAAAAGGCAGUACAUUGUAAUUACAAUAAUCUUUCGCAAUGUAAGACUCGCACUUAUUUCUCAAACUGUGAGUCUGUGACUGCAGAAUUUCAUGAUCAAGAUGAACAUUAGACAGUCAUUUCUUUAAUCUUUUCUAAAUUAUAAUCGAUUACCGCGUUUUCCAUAAUUUUGCUUCAAGUUUUCUGAAACUUUCUGAGAUACAUGGUAUAACCAAAUCCCCCAAUGUAAAAAAGCAACACAUUAGUCAACAACACGAUUGCUCCCCAUAGUUUUUAGUUUAUUAUAUAUCAUUGACCUGUAAAAUACUCGAUUAGCAAGCUUUUCAUUUCUGAGAAAUAUAAAUAUAACCCAAUCUGGUAAUUUAAAAUAGCAAAACAUUAGUUAACAACACGAACAAUAUCUAAUCUAUCUAAUCUGGCAUUUUUGAGCUAAGUCAGCUAGAGCAAGUUGCGAGUUAGUGAGAUUGAAAACAUAGCUAUAAAAUGAAGUAAGGUAAAGCACACGCUCAAACUUUGUUGGGUCAUUGACUUCCAAUUCAAAUUGUUAGGGUAAAGUGUCAUAUGCCUGCCUGGAGUGGUGAAGCAGUACAGAUUUUUUCAUUUGAUAUGUUAUGCGCUAGAGUUUGCAGGAAUUGGAUCCAUUAGACUCAUCUUUACAAGGCCAGAACACAGCAAGAAAACCAAUCACUGAUUAAAAAAAGAAAAAAAAAUCUUGGCUUACCUUUACUAUUAUCUUCUUGAGAGGAUGGCAUUCAUUUUGGAUGAACAAGGCAUAAACUUCAACCAUAAACAUCUUUUGCCACAAACAUGACCCUUUGGACUUAAGGGAAGAUGUGAGUAUGGGGCAAUAAAAGGGCAAAGAUUUGUUGAGGAAGCAAAUUCUUUCCCUCUAUUGUAUGCGCACCGUUGCACCAUUGCAUACUUACAUUUGAGGUGGAGUAGCAGCAAGCAUCAAAACCCAGUUUCCGCUCACAAAGCUUGUUUAUAUAUAUAACAAGUAUUAAUCUGCCUCAACCCCCACCUGCAGCUACUGUGAGUUGUGUUAUCAUCAUUAUUUGGCCUGUAAUGAUAAUUGAACCACAGGUAUCAACAUGUUUCCAAUACCAGCACUAUUUGCACCACUGUCUGGGUUUUGUACCACCUUCAUGUGACUAAAAGGCUAAAAGCUAAAAGCUAAAAGCACCUUAUCCAAAACUCCGAUUCCAGAUCGGAAGAGAAAAAGCUAAUACACCCAGUUGAGGAAAUAUAGAUGAUGCAACAAAAGAGCAGGCAUGUUCAUCAAUAAAAUUCUAAUCCAUGUCUUAAGACCCAAAACAGGGAAAAAGUCGUGGGGAUGAGAGACUCUCCGUACCAUAAAAUAUCAGACUCACCUCACCGAGAAUGACACAGAAAGUCUUUUUACGAAAACAUGAAAGAGACGUCCCAUCCCUAGCUAUCCCUAGUCCUGACAAGUAAAUUUACAGAUAAUUAACAAUAAGUAGCAGCAAAAUCACCUAGCAGUUUUUCAGCUAGUUUUCUAGACACUGAUAGUGAUGCACACCCUUCAAUACUGGCUAUCUAGAAUCUAAGCAAAACCCAAGCUUUGAAAUAAGAAGAAAACCCCUUACAUUACCCAUUUCAAAUCCCUCCAUUUUUCCUUGUAAAUUGUAGCUGGAGAAAAGGGAUUGGUUUACUGGUAGGACCAUAGGCCUUCUGCAUCGGAAUCCCCUGGCGAAUCAUCCGACGACGGCGUGUUUAUCCUUGGUGGGCUCACCAUCAUUGCUCCUGCCAUGUCCACUAGCAAAUUUGGCAAGUUUAGAAACAGUUCCUCGUCAACAAACUCUUGACCUGACUCAACGCGGCUUGUACUGGUUAUGGAAGAAGUACUCUCGGCGGUAGGCAGACCCGCAUCCGGAAUCGACCCGGUUUCUAUCUUGGACUGCCUGACUGCCGCAGCACUAGCAGCCGCGGCCCGUAUGUCGCUGGCUGACAUGGAUGUUGGUAUUGGGUAAGAAAGAAUAGAUUCCGGGAAGUUCAAGGGCGUGUCGGGGCCUUUGAGGGCGAGAGCUGCGACGUCGUAGGCGGCGGCUGCCAUUUCGGGAGUAGGGUACGUACCCAGCCAUAUACGUGUAGUUUUACGUGGCUCCCGGAUCUCCGACACCCAUUUCCCGCUCCGGCUCCGAAUUCCCCUAUAAAUCGGAUGCCUACCGCUACCGAGAUAACUAGAAGACCCACCGGGAGAUCGAACGGGUCUAGGCGACGGAUUCGAUGACGUGGAGCGCGGCGAUUGGUCCUCUGGCAGCACAAGAGGUUCAGCUGGGACUUGCACGCAGGGGUUGGGCGGUGGUUGAUCGUCUCGGGACGGCGCAUUCGCAUGAGGAUCAGCCAUAUAAAAAAUAUAAACUAAGGAGUACUAUGUAAUAAGUGAAUGGAUCAUACGUUUUUGUGUUAUUUUAUUUUAUUUUUUUGAUCAAAUAUAUGUAAAUAGAAUGUGUGAG
This 2543-nucleotide unclassified non-coding RNA is filed under the name Hevea brasiliensis (rubber tree). Lineage: Eukaryota; Viridiplantae; Streptophyta; Magnoliopsida; Malpighiales; Euphorbiaceae. The record is from RNAcentral.